UACGUAGGGUGCAAGCGUUGUCCGGAAUUAUUGGGCGUAAAGAGCUCGUAGGCGGCUUGUUGCGUCGGCUGUGAAAUCCCGUGGCUUAACUGCGGGCUUGCAGCUGAUACGGGCGGGCUGGAGUUCGGUAGGGGAGACUGGAAUUCCUGGUGUAGCGGUGAAAUGCGCAGAUAUCAGGAGGAACACCGGUGGCGAAGGCGGGUCUCUGGGCCGAUACUGACGCUGAGGAGCGAAAGCGUGGGGAGCGAACAGG
This 253-nucleotide ribosomal RNA is filed under the name uncultured bacterium. RNAcentral describes it as "partial 16S ribosomal RNA". It matches the Rfam family "Bacterial small subunit ribosomal RNA", at positions 524 to 776 of the family's 1533-position model. The record is from RNAcentral.